RNAcentral lists this ribosomal RNA (253 nucleotides) under uncultured bacterium. Its description in RNAcentral is "partial 16S ribosomal RNA". It matches the Rfam family "Bacterial small subunit ribosomal RNA", at positions 524 to 776 of the family's 1533-position model. The record is from RNAcentral.
UACGGAGGGGGCUAGCGUUGUUCGGAAUUACUGGGCGUAAAGCGCACGUAGGCGGCUUUGUAAGUUAGAGGUGAAAGCCCGGGGCUCAACUCCGGAAUUGCCUUUAAGACUGCAUCGCUAGAAUUGUGGAGAGGUGAGUGGAAUUCCGAGUGUAGAGGUGAAAUUCGUAGAUAUUCGGAAGAACACCAGUGGCGAAGGCGACUCACUGGACACAUAUUGACGCUGAGGUGCGAAAGCGUGGGGAGCAAACGGG